Molecule: small nucleolar RNA, 107 nt
Filed under: Plasmodium gonderi
Lineage: Eukaryota; Apicomplexa; Aconoidasida; Haemosporida; Plasmodiidae
Description: small nucleolar RNA snoR18
Rfam family: small nucleolar RNA snoR18
Source: Rfam by way of RNAcentral
UAUAAAGCUUUCAUGAUGAUUUCAAUGAUAGGACAGAAAAACAAUAAUUUCAUGUUGAUAAAUCAUUUAGCCGAUAUUAUUAAAUAGAUUACUGAUCGAUUGCUUUU